Molecule: non-coding RNA, 24 nt
Filed under: Arabidopsis thaliana (thale cress)
Lineage: Eukaryota; Viridiplantae; Streptophyta; Magnoliopsida; Brassicales; Brassicaceae
Source: RNAcentral
AUGGUAGGAGACCUUUUUUCUUGC